This 526-nucleotide ribosomal RNA is filed under the name uncultured Janthinobacterium sp. RNAcentral describes it as "bacterial SSU rRNA". It matches the Rfam family "Bacterial small subunit ribosomal RNA", at positions 352 to 871 of the family's 1533-position model. The record is from RNAcentral. Lineage: Bacteria; Pseudomonadati; Pseudomonadota; Betaproteobacteria; Burkholderiales; Oxalobacteraceae.
CAGUGGGGAAUUUUGGACAAUGGGCGAAAGCCUGAUCCAGCAAUGCCGCGUGAGUGAAGAAGGCCUUCGGGUUGUAAAGCUCUUUUGUCAGGGAAGAAACGGUGAGGGCUAAUAUCCCUUGCUAAUGACGGUACCUGAAGAAUAAGCACCGGCUAACUACGUGCCAGCAGCCGCGGUAAUACGUAGGGUGCAAGCGUUAAUCGGAAUUACUGGGCGUAAAGCGUGCGCAGGCGGUUUUGUAAGUCUGAUGUGAAAUCCCCGGGCUCAACCUGGGAAUUGCAUUGGAGACUGCAAGGCUAGAAUCUGGCAGAGGGGGGUAGAAUUCCACGUGUAGCAGUGAAAUGCGUAGAUAUGUGGAGGAACACCGAUGGCGAAGGCAGCCCCCUGGGUCAAGAUUGACGCUCAUGCACGAAAGCGUGGGGAGCAAACAGGAUUAGAUACCCUGGUAGUCCACGCCCUAAACGAUGUCUACUAGUUGUCGGGUCUUAAUUGACUUGGUAACGCAGCUAACGCGUGAAGUAGACCG